CGCUCAUAAAGAAAAACCACAUGAAAGAAGUCCUCUCCUGCACAGGUCCUGGAUAAGGAUCUGGAAUUCAGCAGGGAAGGACGAUCUAAACAAAAAUGGAGCAGAUGUGGCCUCCAAGGGCCUGCAUUGGAGCCUCAAGCUGCUUGCUGGUGUGGGACCUACACGUCUGGAUACUCACAGACUCAGUUCCUUCUGUGUGAGACAGGGGAGUUCAGCCUUGUAGCUGCUACGUUACACGACUUCUCUCCGACGCCAAGCAUCUGUGCAUGUGAAUGUUAUGUGAUGGCCUUUGCCGACAUAAAAAAGAAAAAGUGAAAGAGAGUGUUAGUCGCUCAGUUGUGUCAAACUCUUUGUGACCCCAUGGACUGUAGCCCACCAAGUUCCUCUGUCCAUGGGAUUUUUCCAGGUAAGGAUACUGGAGUGACUUGUCAUUUCCUACUCCUGGGGAUCUUCCUGACCCAGGGAUGAAACCUGUGUCUCCCGCAUUGCAGGCAGAUUAUCUACUCUCUGAGCCAGCAUGGAAGACCCUUUGCUGGCAUAGUCUCUCCCCAGAUGGAGUUCAGUGAGGCUAGUUGGAGGAGGCGCCACAGUCCUGGCACCUCCCCCGCCAUGGCCAUGCCUGCUGAGCCUGUGAACCUCAUCAGCAG
RNAcentral lists this long non-coding RNA (647 nucleotides) under Bos indicus x Bos taurus (hybrid cattle). RNAcentral's name for it is "lncRNA (ENSBIXG00005022394.1)". Lineage: Eukaryota; Metazoa; Chordata; Mammalia; Artiodactyla; Bovidae. The record is from RNAcentral.